Molecule: ribosomal RNA, 253 nt
Filed under: uncultured bacterium
Lineage: Bacteria
Description: partial 16S ribosomal RNA
Rfam family: Bacterial small subunit ribosomal RNA
Source: RNAcentral
UACGUAGGGGGCAAGCGUUAUCCGGAUUUACUGGGUGUAAAGGGAGCGUAGACGGCCAUGCAAGUCUGAAGUGAAAGCCCGGGGCUUAACCGCGGGACUGCUUUGGAAACUGUGUGGCUAGAGUGCUGGAGAGGUAAGUGGAAUUCCUAGUGUAGCGGUGAAAUGCGUAGAUAUUAGGAGGAACACCAGUGGCGAAGGCGGCUUACUGGACUGUAACUGACGUUGAGGCUCGAAAGCGUGGGGAGCAAACAGG